UGUAAUGGAAAUAAUGCCCUUGGGAACUGCAACAAGUUCUUGCAAGACUUAAUACCAGGGAUGUAACAGAGACACGCAACCACAGCAUAUGAACAGAGUUUGAGAGAGAGAGAGCGAGAUACAACCUGAGACCCAAGAGACUGCAAUACAGAUAUAUUUAUAAGUACUUCUAAGCAUGCAUUUGGCUGGCAGCCUCAGAAGUGAAAAAACAGUGUCUGGUGGUUUGGAGCACCUGCCUGGAAAGCAAGAUCGCAUGAUUCUCUUCUCAUCUUUCCCCUCAAUGAGUGAGUCCACAGACAAACCAGAUUCUGGGGGUUUUUUUCACUUGUCAAAGCAUUAGAAGAACACCGCUACGGAAAAAGACUUGUACAAACAGAGUUGGAUAUGAGCUUUUGUGCAAGGACAUCUGCUGUACCAGUGAAGUGCAGCUGAUGCUCUGAGAGCUUGGGAGGGCAUUUUCAGGUACUGGCCUUAAAGCAGUAUUCAAGUCAGCAGAUUAAAAGGGAUUGUUCACAACAGAAAGUCUAGGAGGAGGAACUUCCCUGAAAUAAGCUGCUCUGGGAGGAAGCCAAGUUAAUAGUUUUUUAUCAGUACUAUAAGAAGGCAGCAGGUGUACUCUACCAGUGCUUAAUGAGCAACCCAACACUACACCAGGGAGGAUAACUGUCCUGAGUCUCGUGGCCAUUAAGGAUGUAGUUUUUAAAAUAAUUUUGAGGUUUCAGUCUUUUGGCUUUUUCAUGCCACUUGCUUCCCGCCAAGCCAGCCCUGCCAUACAAGCACCACCCUCAUUAGCCCUUGCAGGUUCCAAACAAGAGCCAAACUUCAAGGCACAGAUUCCUGGAAAUGAAACUUCAGUGUUUCAGCUGUUCACAAAACUACAGCUUUUUCAGUUAAAAAUUAAAAAUCGCCCAAAUGGUGGAACAAGAAGAACAUGAUUUGACCAGAUCUUCAGCUGGUAUAAAAAGAUAGAGACUGUUGACAUGCGUCAUUGAAAAUAUCAUCUGAAGCUGAAGUGGAAUUGCAGCCAAAAAACUUUCAAGCAAUCACACAAGCCUUAAAGAGUGAAAAGCAAUAAUUAUUUCCAGAAUGCCAAAGACCUUCCUCUUAGGGAGAAUCUUUAAUUUGCUGAUGAGUUUCUGUGUAUUGGGUUUUUAGAUAAUUGCUGUGGUGAUAUCAACAUUCGCUAAUAAAGAAGCUUUCAAUGAAGCAGUAAGAGGUCUGCAGAUCUCAUCGGCAUUGUUACCACCGUCUUUGGACAAUGGUGGCCAGCGCGUUCUUCAGCUGGAGAGCCAUAUCUCUGGCAUAUCAGUUCUUGCAGGUUGCAAGUGAAUAUAUGGUCACACUUCACCAGAUGGCUUCAUCAGGCUUUUUGUUUGUUUUCACUUGGAAGGCAGGGAAUAGAAGUACCUUGAUUUAGCAGAGAGCUGCAUGAGGAACAGAGAAACAUUUUUUGUGAGCUUAUAUGUUCUGGACUCUAAUAGGUAUUGGAUAAUAUUAUUGUUUCACCGAUGAAACUUUGCAAAAUCGAUUAUCCAAGCUUUUGUUCAAUUGCCUGACUGAAAAUAAAAAAAGUCCUGAGAACAAAUAAUAUCUCAUUAUACCAAGUCAAAUGACAUUAGAAUAAAAUUGCUGGGAUGAAGAAUAUCAAGAAUCAAUUUUUAUGCUUGGAAUUAAUUUUCUGAAUAGGGAACCACUGAACAUUGCCAUAAUUAGUGCAUUCCUCGUAAACCUAUUAGCACAUCUCUUUCAGGGCUGAAUUUACCAUAUAGUUACAGCUCCACUUUUAAGUGCUCACCAUCAUCAGCUGCAGCCAGAAUUUCAAGAGCACAAUUUUAAUAUUGGCAUGAAGAAUGUAGCCAAUGCAUUUCUAGGUCUAAAAAGGAGCUCACUGCAUUUUUUUUAAU
Long non-coding RNA from Gymnogyps californianus (California condor), 1904 nucleotides. RefSeq lists it as uncharacterized. The record is from RefSeq and is a predicted model, not a curated record. NCBI's taxonomy places the organism in Eukaryota, Metazoa, Chordata, Aves, Accipitriformes, Cathartidae. The transcript has 4 exons.